This 301-nucleotide unclassified non-coding RNA is filed under the name Hadrotrichum sp. Its description in RNAcentral is "partial contains 5.8S ribosomal RNA, internal transcribed spacer 2, and large subunit ribosomal RNA". The stretch from base 1 to 52 matches the Rfam family "5.8S ribosomal RNA", at positions 103 to 154 of the family's 154-position model. The record is from RNAcentral. Lineage: Eukaryota; Fungi; Ascomycota; Sordariomycetes; Xylariales.
AACGCACCUUGCACUCUUUGGUAUUCCGAAGAGUAUGUCUGUUUGAGUGUCAUGAAACUCUCAACCCCCCUAUUUUGUAAUGAGGUAGGUGCUUGGGUUUGGAUUGUGGCUGUUUGCUGGCUUUAGAGUCGGCUCGGCUGAAAUAUACGAGUAACCUCCUUUGUUUUCAAGCGGUUUGACUCGGCGUAAUAGCUUUAUUUCGCUGAGGACGCAUUGAUGUUACAAUAUUAUGGUGCUUCUAAUGAAACUUUUAAUUAAGCUUUAAGACCUCAAAUCAGUCAGGAUUACCCGCUGAACUUAA